UUUCUCCAUUCUCUUAAUCUAAACAAAAAACCCUAACUACUCUUUCUCCAUUCACUUCCUUCCACUUCUUUUUCUCCAUUCUCUUAAUCUAAACAAAAAACCCUAAAUCUCGACCAUGAAUCCUGCAUAGUUGCCAAAAUCUAUGGUGCUUUUCUAUUCCGGUUUAUGGUAGAAUUGCAGCUGAUCUGUCACUGUAGGACGUGUUUUACUUGUAUCAGGCUCCAAUCACCCCCAUCCCAUUUAAAUGCCUAGAGGAGGAUUUAUCGGACGACUUAGAGGAGCCUCAUCCCGUGGCACUCAGCUUAAGGAACUAGAGGACGUUCCUCCUGAGCUAGAGAAUCUCUUCACACUUUUUGACGCAGAAGUGUCACCAGAAGAAGAAAGGGAAGAAGAAGGUGAUGAAAAAACAGUUGGAGUACAUUCACCAAUAGCACCUGAUCAACCUGAUCUCCCUGAUCGAUACGGAAGAAAAAUAAUACAUCUUGGGGAGGAUGCAAUGCUCUACCCUACCAAAGAUGUACUCCCUCCGUCCCAAAUAAUUCGUCCCAGUAUUCCAUUUCGGCUUGUCCCACAUAAUUUGUCCCACUUCA
Molecule: non-coding RNA, 590 nt
Organism: Salvia hispanica
Lineage: Eukaryota; Viridiplantae; Streptophyta; Magnoliopsida; Lamiales; Lamiaceae
Source: RefSeq, a predicted model, not a curated record